This 102-nucleotide ribosomal RNA is filed under the name Paraburkholderia elongata. Its description in RNAcentral is "partial 16S ribosomal RNA". It matches the Rfam family "Bacterial small subunit ribosomal RNA", at positions 1 to 99 of the family's 1533-position model. Lineage: Bacteria; Pseudomonadati; Pseudomonadota; Betaproteobacteria; Burkholderiales; Burkholderiaceae. The record is from RNAcentral.
UUGAACUGAAGAGUUUGAUCCUGGCUCAGAUUGAACGCUGGCGGCAUGCCUUACACAUGCAAGUCGAACGGCAGCACGGGAGCAAUCCUGGUGGCGAGUGGC